RNAcentral lists this ribosomal RNA (322 nucleotides) under uncultured eukaryote. RNAcentral describes it as "partial 18S ribosomal RNA". It matches the Rfam family "Eukaryotic small subunit ribosomal RNA", at positions 1470 to 1796 of the family's 1831-position model. The record is from RNAcentral.
CCCUUAGAUGUUCUGGGCCGCACGCGUGCUACACUGAGUGGAUCAGCGGGUCAGGUUGCGCGAAAGCGUUUCCUAAUCUUUAAAUCCGCUCGUGAUGGGGAUUGACGGUUGCAAUUUUCUGUCAUGAACGAGGAAUACCUUGUAAGCGCGGGUCAUCAUCCCGCGCUGAAUACGUCCCUGCCCUUUGUACACACCGCCCGUCGCUCCUACCGAUUGAGUGGUCCGGUGAGGCUUUGGGAUCUGAGCGGAAAGAGCGUUUCGCUAUUUCUGCUCGGAAAACUCAGUCGAACCUUAUCAUUUAGAGGAAGGAGAAGUCGUAACA